CCUUUGACACUUUGCGUGUUUUUUUUAACAAUGUACUGAAUUUAUAAGAACUUAUGAAUUGGCAAGCAUAUACCAAUACACAAAAUAACUGCAUGAAUUUGGAAUAUAUUAGAAAAUAGUUCAUAUCAAAAUCUAACAAAAAUAUAAUGCCACAAAUAAAAAUCAAAGCUCUGCUAAACAUAAGUAAAUAUCAUAAAAAAAAUCUAAUUAAACUCAACGGUAUCCUCGUCGUUCAAGAACUGAUAAUUAAAAGUUUUUCGAGUGCGAUAUCCCACUUGCUGGAGUUUUCGCACUAAUGGUUGUUGCAUGCACAACUGCCUUGCCAUAUACAAGACAAAAAUCCCACAAUCAACCAAAUCUGGUUUGUUGAGGCAAUGUCGAAACUUAAUAUGGCUUUGUGUUAUCGUGCAAAUAGAUUUGGCUUGAUUCAUCGUUGCUUCCCUCUUUUUGAAGAGGCAAAUAAUUCAUCUAUUUUCCUCUCCCGUUUCGUCAAAUCAACUGUUCAAUUGAAAAAAAAAAUUAUUGGACAACCAUGUCGGUACCU
This 544-nucleotide long non-coding RNA is filed under the name Erythranthe guttata (spotted monkey flower). RNAcentral's name for it is "long non-coding RNA (EGUT_LNC003288)". Lineage: Eukaryota; Viridiplantae; Streptophyta; Magnoliopsida; Lamiales; Phrymaceae. The record is from RNAcentral.